RNAcentral lists this ribosomal RNA (469 nucleotides) under uncultured Glomus. RNAcentral describes it as "SSU rRNA". It matches the Rfam family "Eukaryotic small subunit ribosomal RNA", at positions 569 to 1042 of the family's 1831-position model. The record is from RNAcentral. Lineage: Eukaryota; Fungi; Glomeromycota; Glomeromycetes; Glomerales; Glomeraceae.
AGCAGCCGCGGUAAUUCCAGCUCCAAUAGCGUAUAUUAAAGUUGUUGCAGUUAAAAAGCUCGUAGUUGAAUUUCGGGAUCAAUUUGCUGGUCGUGCCUUCGGUACGCACUGGUAUUAUUGGUUUCUCCUUUCUGAUGAAUCGCGAUGUCAUUAAUUUGGUGUCGUGGGGAAUCAGGACUGUUACUUUGAAAAAAUUAGAGUGUUUAAAGCAGGCUCACGCUUGAAUACAUUAGCAUGGAAUAAUGAAAUAGGACGUUUGAUUCUAUUUUGUUGGUUUCUAGGAUCGACGUAAUGAUUAAUAGGGAUAGUUGGGGGCAUUAGUAUUCAAUUGUCAGAGGUGAAAUUCUUGGAUUUAUUGAAGACUAACUACUGCGAAAGCAUUUGCCAAGGAUGUUUUCAUUAAUCAAGAGCGAAAGUUAGGGGAUCGAAGACGAUCAGAUACCGUCGUAGUCUUAACCAUAAACUAUGC